This 579-nucleotide ribosomal RNA is filed under the name uncultured bacterium. RNAcentral's name for it is "bacterial SSU rRNA". It matches the Rfam family "Bacterial small subunit ribosomal RNA", at positions 338 to 916 of the family's 1533-position model. The record is from RNAcentral.
CCUACGGGAGGCAGCAGUAGGGAAUAUUGGGCAAUGGACGAAAGUCUGACCCAGCCAUGCCGCGUGCAGGAUGAAGGCCCUCUGGGUUGUAAACUGCUUUUGACAGGGAAGAAAUACACCAUGCGUGGUGGGCUGACGGUACCUGUAGAAUAAGCACCGGCUAACUCCGUGCCAGCAGCCGCGGUAAUACGGAGGGUGCAAGCGUUGUCCGGAUUUAUUGGGUUUAAAGGGUGCGUAGGCGGUUUUGUAAGUCAGUGGUGAAAGCUAGCAGCUUAACUGUUAAACUGCCAUUGAUACUGCAAAGCUUGAGUUCAGAUGAGGUAGGCGGAAUUUAUAGUGUAGCGGUGAAAUGCUUAGAUACUAUAAAGAACUCCGAUAGCGUAGGCAGCUUACUAAACUGAUACUGACGCUGAGGCACGAAAGUGUGGGGAUCAAACAGGAUUAGAUACCCUGGUAGUCCACACUGUAAACGAUGAUUACUCGUUGUUGGCGAUAUUACAGCCAGCGACUUAGGGAAACCGUUAAGUAAUCCACCUGGGGAGUACGUUCGCAAGGAUUGAAACUUAAAGGAAUUGACGG